CCUGGACCAGCCUAGACCGCCGCGCCGGCCUCCCGCCGGGCAAGCCACCCGCUGGGAAUUUCCCGGCACUCGCCCAGGCCGUGGUGGUUUCAGCGCCUGGGGAUAAACUGGUAGUGGGCUCGCGAGACAAGGUUUCAUCAUGAUGCCCAGGCUGGUCUCGAACUCGAGCUCAAGCAAACUUCCUGCAUUGACUUCCCAAAGUGCUGGGAUUACAGGCAUGAGUCACCGAUAUGUCUUUCAAUGGUCAUUAUACAGCCUAUCACAAUGAAGGAGAAGGAUUAACAUUUUAUUUUAAGGCCUGGAGAGUUUUAAGCAGCACAAAAGAAAAUUUAGAUCUUCGACGACCACACACGGGGAGAGACCCUGCGACACAGGGGACGUACGUUUUACAGUCCGAAGUCAAAUGAAUAUCGGGAAGAAAAUGACAGGAUGUGGUCGUGCGAGCUUGAACUAUCAACUCUAGGGGAGGCUGAGGCGGGUGGAUCGCAGGAAUUCAAAGGCUGCAAUGAGCUAUGAUGGCGCCACUGCAUUCUAGCCUGGGCGACAGAGCGAGAUUCUUUUUUUAAAAAAGAAAAUGUCUGCUAAUAAGAAAAUGCUCGUUUUGUAAAAAUUAAAAAAAACAAGGUUCCGUUUUAACCGGUCUGCGAUUGUGAUAUGGAAAAGAAUUACAGCAUUGUCAGAAGUGGGAUUCGAACCCACGCCUCCAGGGGAGACUGCGACCUGAACGCAGCGCCUUAGACCGCUCGGCCAUCCUGACUGCUUGAAGAAAGCUUUCCUACAAGCCUCUACACAAGUUCUGUAGUGUGCGCAUGCGUAGCAAGCCGCAAAGACUCAGGCCUUAUUCUCGAAUGGCUUUGACUGGAGCGAAUUACACUCGCUUGCUUCAAUGGGGCGUGGCAAGAUGGAACGAGGAGGAUCAGCGCGAUGCACCUAGGCGACGCCAGAGGGUGCGCAAGGCCUACUAGAGAAGGCCGAGACCGCGGUCUGUCACUUUAACACACGUGCAUUUGAGCCUCCAGCAUGUAUUCAUUCUGCAUGCAUAUAUGUACUAUUCAUGUCAGCUUUGAUUCCUGAAAUCUGCAAGCAACCUUACAUUUCCCUUGUGCACGAUGCAAUCAAGUCCGCAUACCUGCACUGAUCUGUAGACAUCUCCGUGAGCUGGCGCCCAAUCUAGGUAAAGCCCGGUUAUUGCAAGGCCGCCUGACACUCUUAACCGCGCUCUCCUUCCUCUCGCCCCAACUGCAGCUUCACAUUUGUAUGUGUGUUUAACUCAUUUACCCAGGCUCCGGGGUAGAAUGAGCCCUGCGGCGGCACGCACUAUUCCUAUGUCCCAGUGCCCGAACCGUGCCCGGCACACAGUAGGUGCGCAGGGAAGAUCCCGAGGAUUCAGUUCUUCUCUGGCUUCCUCCUUCCUGCAUCCCCUCGUUUCGUGACUCAUCUCUCUUUUCCUGGCCCCCGCGGCAUCUUCCUCUCUUCCCUUUCGCCCCCUCUAGGCUUAGGCACGCUGCCCGCAGGCUGUUUCCAGGGACCAGAAGACCUCGGUACUGAGAGGGUGCCCUUCUCCAAGGGAUUUCUAGGAUCUUAGGGGCCUGGGCCACUGACCUGGUGUGUAACAAUUACACAUUAAUUAUUGAAUUCCCUCCUUAAUAACUCAUGAUUCUACAAUGAAAGCUGCUGCCCCUCUCUGUACACAGGCACUGAAAGAGAGGGUCCGAGACUCUCCGACAUCUGUGAACCCACUCUGGAGUCCAGGGAUCAGGCCCAGAAGGUGUGAACAGUGGGGUCACAUUAACCCCUUAGUGUCGUUGGACUUGUCUGAGAUGGUAUCACGGAGUGGCCUCAGCAGGAGAACAGCAGCCCUUACCACCCUUGGGUCAGAUUCCCUUUAAAUGCUUGGAGCUUGGGAUGGAGCCCCUUGGGGUGGGCAGAGGUCCUGGUUAUUUGAAAGAUGAUGAAACCCUCUUCUUUCCCUGUCCCAGAUGUCCUCUUCUCAUUGACUGACAGAAUUCUUUCCUUUAGGUUUAGCACUUAAACCCCCCCCUUUUUUUUUUGAGACAGAAUCUCGCUCUGUCACCUGCAGUGGUGUGAUCUCCGCUCACUGCAACCUCUGCCUCCUGGGCUCAAGCAAUUCUCCUGCUUCAGCCUCCUGAGUAGCUGGAAUUACAGGCACACACUACCAGGCCCAGCUAAUUUUUGUAUUUUUAGUAGUGACGGGGUUUCACCAUGUUGCCUAGGUUGGUCUCGAUCUCUUGACAUUGUGAUCUGCCCACCUCAGUCUCCCAAAGUCCUGGGAUUACAGGUGUGAACCACCAUGCCUAGCCUUGUGUCCUCUUCUAAAAUACAAAUUGCCCUGGAAGCUGGAAAGAAAGUCAACAAACAUUUAUUAAGCACUUGCUAUGUGCCAUUCUUCUGUAUGCUGUGAACAAAACAGAAUUUUACUCUCAAGAUACAUUCAUACAUGCAUCGAAGUAAGAAGGAUAAGAACCAAAUGAACAAACACAUUCAGGUGUUGGUAAGUGCUGGGUAGAGAACGCAUCAGGAAACUCGAGAGACUUUGAAACAGGCAAUAAAGAUAACUGGAUGUUCCGCCGGGAUCACCCAUCCAGCUAUCUAAUCCUUUAAGGGCUUGCACCUUUCAUUAUUCUUAUGUCCAAAUAAUUCUUGUCCACAGAAAUACAGGUGAAUUUUGAUAGGGUGGAAUGCAAUUGAUCAUUGCCCUGUGGAUAUUGACCAAUUUUGCAAUUUACUUAUAAAUUCAUUUCAGCACUCCUGAUUGCCAAUAUAUGUGUGUCUUUGAAUUCUCUUUUGAAUUGGUUAUAACAUUGUACAGGUCCCUCUAUUAAUUAAUGACUAAAAUAAAACCUUUGACAUGUGUUCAUUUUAUAUGAGAAUUAUGAUUUUAUCUUAAAA
Molecule: non-coding RNA, 2910 nt
Organism: Callithrix jacchus (white-tufted-ear marmoset)
Lineage: Eukaryota; Metazoa; Chordata; Mammalia; Primates; Cebidae
Source: RefSeq, a predicted model, not a curated record